Molecule: ribosomal RNA, 575 nt
Filed under: Constrictotermes cavifrons
Lineage: Eukaryota; Metazoa; Arthropoda; Insecta; Blattodea; Termitidae
Description: partial 16S ribosomal RNA
Rfam family: Bacterial large subunit ribosomal RNA
Source: RNAcentral
UCGCCUGUUUAACAAAAACAUCUCUUCUUGUGUUAGUUUUUGAAGUAUGGCCUGCCCGUUGACGUUUAAAAAGAGUUGAAGGGCCGCGGUAUUUUGACCGUGCAAAGGUAGCAUAGUCAUUAGUUCUUUAAUUGUGAUCUGGUAUGAAUGGCUGGACGAGACAUUAGCUGUCUUAUGGGUAUUGUUUAUUGAAUUUGGAGUUUGAGUUAAAAUUCUUAAAUGUUUUUAUGGGACGAGAAGACCCUAUAGAGUUUAACAGCUUUCUUACUUUUAUGUUGUUUGUUUUGGUGUAUUCUUAAUUGAGUAGGGGAAGUUGUUUUGUUGGGGUGAUGGGAGAAAUUUAUUUAACUCCUCUUUAUGGUUGUAUACUUGUAUGUAUUUCUUUUGAUCCAUUUAUUUUGAUUAUAAGAUUAAAUUACCUUAGGGAUAACAGCGUUAUCCUCCUUGAGAGUUCUUAUUGGCAGGAGGGAUUGCGACCUCGAUGUUGGAUUAAGGUGAAUUUUCGGUGUAGGAGCUGAAAUUGAUUAGGUCUGUUCGACCUUUAAAAUCUUACGUGAUCUGAGUUCAGAACCGGA